UACGGAGGAUGCGAGCGUUAUCCGGAUUUAUUGGGUUUAAAGGGUGCGUAGGCGGGAUGCCAAGUCAGCGGUAAAAAUGCGGUGCUCAACGCCGUCGAGCCGUUGAAACUGGCGUUCUUGAGUGGGCGAGAAGUAUGCGGAAUGCGUGGUGUAGCGGUGAAAUGCAUAGAUAUCACGCAGAACUCCGAUUGCGAAGGCAGCAUACCGGCGCCCUACUGACGCUGAGGCACAAAAGCGUGAGUAUCGAACAGG
RNAcentral lists this ribosomal RNA (252 nucleotides) under uncultured bacterium. Its description in RNAcentral is "partial 16S ribosomal RNA". It matches the Rfam family "Bacterial small subunit ribosomal RNA", at positions 524 to 776 of the family's 1533-position model. The record is from RNAcentral.